RNAcentral lists this ribosomal RNA (469 nucleotides) under uncultured bacterium. RNAcentral's name for it is "SSU rRNA". It matches the Rfam family "Bacterial small subunit ribosomal RNA", at positions 26 to 518 of the family's 1533-position model. The record is from RNAcentral.
AGGACGAACGCUGGCGGCGUGCUUAACACAUGCAAGUCGAGCGGAAAGGCCCUUCGGGGUACUCGAGCGGCGAACGGGUGAGUAACACGUGAGUAACCUGCCCUUGACUCUGGGAUAAGCACUGGAAACGGUGUCUAAUACCGGAUACGAGCUUCAGCCGCAUGGCUAGGAGUUGGAAAGAAUUUCGGUCAAGGAUGGACUCGCGGCCUAUCAGGUAGUUGGUGAGGUAAUGGCCCACCAAGCCUACGACGGGUAGCCGGCCUGAGAGGGUGACCGGCCACACUGGGACUGAGACACGGCCCAGACUCCUACGGGGGCAGCAGUGAGGAAUUUUCGUCAAUGGGGGCAACCCGUGAACGAGCAACGCCGCGUGCAGGAAGAGGUUUCGGAUCGUAAACUGCUUUUCUCGGGAAGAGAACGGACGGUACCCGAGGAAUCGAGCCCCGGCUAACUACGUGCCAGCAGCCGC